AGGCGGCGGUGAAGCAGCAGAGAAAAUGGCGGCCAUGGCUGCGGAGGCGGCAGCAACUGCAGCGGUGCCGGGCGAUGGGGGGGCUGGCGAAGCCGAGCCUGAGAUGGAGCCUAUCCCAGGCAGCGAGGCCGGUGCGGACCCUCUCCCUGCCGUCACCGAGGCCGUGGAGUCGGUGGUGCCUGAUGGGGAGGAGGCCGACGGAGGGAAGGUUGUGCCCGGCGAGGCCGAGGAGCCGCCGCCUGUGCAGCUCGCCCGGAGCCCGGCCGGGACUCGGGAGCCGGAAGCCGAGAGGACGGAGAAGCUGCCGCCCUCCACCCCGGAGGAGGGCUCGCCCCUGGCCGAGCACCGCGGAGCGCCUAGCCCGGAGUCCGAGGAGGAGCCGCAGCCCUGCCCGCCGCCUGCUGGGCACCCUGAACUUCCCGAGGAGGAGCCGCAGCCCUGCCCGCCGGCUACUGGGGGCUCCGCGGAGCCGGAGCCCGGGGAGGAGCCGUCCCGGCCGGAGGAGGAGGAGCCGGAUGCUGCUGAUGCCGCCGCUGUCGAGCCCAAGUCCCCGGUGCCCGUGGCUCCGGCCGGAGGGGAGGCGGAGGCUCCGCUGCUGCCUGGCUCCGAGGUGCGGGUCACCCUGGAUCACAUCAUCGAGGACGCCCUGGUGGUCUCGUUCCGGCUGGGAGAGAAGCUUUUUUCUGGGGUCCUCAUGGACCUCUCUAAAAGGUUUGGACCCCAUGGAAUCCCUGUGACCAUAUUUCCUAAAAGGGAAUAUAAGGAUAAACCUGAAGCCAUGCAGCUCCAAAGUAAACCAUUCCAAGAUGAGGCACAGGUGAAGUGUGAAUCUAAUGCUGCAGUCCCUGAUGACUCUUCUCUUGCGCAGCCAUCAGAACCUAGCAUAGCUAAAAGCCUAUGGACUUCUAAACCACCUCCUCUCUUUCAUGAGGGAGCACCAUACCCUCCUCCUUUGUUUAUCAGGGACACGUAUAACCAGUCAAUACCUCAGCCUCCGCCCCGGAAAAUUAAGCGGCCCAAGCGUAAAAUGUACAGGGAGGAGCCCACUUCUAUCAUGAAUGCUAUCAAACUACGGCCCCGGCAGGUCUUAUGUGACAAGUGCAAAAACAGUGUUGUUGCAGAAAAAAAGGAAAUUAAAAAAGGUGGCAAUGCAAGUGACUCUUCAAAAUAUGAGGAUAAUAAAAAACGAAGAAAUGAGAGUGUGACUACUGUGAAUAAAAAACUUAAGACUGACCAUAAAGUGGAUGGAAAAAGCCAAACUGAAAGCCAGAAAAGGAAUGCUGUGGUCAAGGUUUCAAAUAUUGCCCACAGCAGAAGCAGAGUAGUUAAAGUUUCCGCACAAGCAAAUACUUCAAAAGCGCAGUUAAAUACAAAAAAAGUUCUCCAGAGCAAAAACAUGGAUCAUGCAAAAGCUCGGGAAGUCUUGAAAAUGGCCAAAGAAAAGGCACAAAAGAAGCAGAGUGCAACCUCCUCUUCCAAAAAUGCACAUUCAAAGGUCCACUUCACACGGCGUCUUCAGAACACCAGCUCAGGUUCCCUUCCACCCCGAUUGCGUUUAAAGCCACAAAGGUAUCGGAAUGAAGAAAAUGACUCUUCUCUCAAGACAGGACUUGAGAAAAUACGGAGUGGCAAGAUGGCAUCUAAGCCCCAGUCUCGCUGCUCCUCCACCCGCUCAGCAGGUGAGGCCCCUUCAGAAAAUCAGAGCCCCUCAGAAGGCCCUGAAGAGGCCAGCAGUGAGGUUCAGGACACAAGUGAAGUGCAUGUAACUGUUGAUCAGGAUGAACACCAGACAUUGGGCAAGAGAGGCAGCAAAAGCAAUAUAACGGUUUACAUGACCCUUAAUCAAAAGAAAUCUGACUCUUCCAGUGCAUCAGUUUGUAGUAGUGAUAGCACAGAUGAUUUGAAAUCUACCAACUCUGAGUGUAGCUCUACUGAAAGCUUUGAUUUUCCUCCAGGCAGCAUGCAUGCACCUUCCUCCUCCUCCUCCUCCUCCUCCUCCUCUUCAAAGGAAGAGAAAAAGCUCAGUAAUUCCUUGAAAACGGAAGUCUUUUCCAAAAACGUCUCUAAAUGUGUCACACCAGAUGGCAGGACCGUAUGUGUAGGGGACAUUGUUUGGGCCAAGAUUUAUGGCUUCCCUUGGUGGCCAGCCCGUAUUCUUACCAUAACUGUGAGCCGGAAAGAUAAUGGCCUUUUAGUUCGACAGGAGGCUCGUAUCUCAUGGUUUGGCUCCACAACAACAUCUUUUCUUGCUCUUGCACAACUAUCCCCCUUUUUAGAAAGCUUCCAGUUGCGCUUUAAUAAGAAGAGAAAGGGUCUUUACCGCAAGGCCGUCACAGAGGCAGCUAAGGCUGCUAAGCAGCUGACUCCCGAAGUUCGGGCCCUGCUGACACAGUUUGAAACGUGAACAUGGAAAGUAAGGUUUGAUCCGGGAGGUGGAGCUGGCUUGAGUGGCGGCAGAGAAGUGGAGGGUGAAGACAUCUCCCUUGGGUAUCCCACUCCUAUCACGCAUGAAGAGGAAGAGGUAGAGGCAGAGUAAGAAGGAACAAAAGCUGGGAGCUGAGGACAGACACCUCAAAGUGGAAAAAAGGGACAUGCUAGUUACAAUAAAGAAUAAGCUAACCGGCCUCCACCCAAGGAGGCAUGUGUGCAGCUCUCCAGCCCAGCCCUUGAAAGAUGUGGAGCAGGAACAGAACAAAAGAAAAUCUGUCACUGAACUCAUUUGUAUGACAAACAGCAGGUUGCUAAAAGCCCCUGCUUUUAACUUUGCACAACAGCCCUACACUUGGUAAAUACCAGAUAUACAUACAGUGAAUGCAUAAAGAUAGCAAUUAAUUGGUAAUAAUAAAGAUAUAUAGAAAAUUUAAAGUAUCCAUAGUAGCUUCAAAGUGGUUCCAUUUACAUAUGUCCCAAGGGUGUGGACAUAUAAUAUAUAUAUAUAUAUAUGUUGCAGUUGGGUGAAACCCAGGGCACAGACCGAUCUGCUUCACAUCCAGCGACACGGGACUAGCGCUAAUGUUGGUAAAUGAGAAAAAAGCCCUGACGCACUCCCUUCCCCACCCUUCCGACCCUGCGGGAAGUUAGCUCCUGGAACUCGAGGGUCAGAGGACCGCCUGGCUCCAGGUGCACUGCACCGCUCCCAGGGCCACCCGCUGCUCCCAGCCUGGGUUGUCUGGGCUGCCACCUCUGCCGUCCUGCCCUGGGGCUGCAGGGGCGCGGGAGCCAGGCGUACCUGCGCGCUGCUGGGCUCAAGCCCCACUUACAGCCUUCAGCCCUCUGAAGCUCUGCUCUGUAGAAUCCCAGUUUUCGGGAGGUUAAUAAUCUCUCCUAACAGUCCACCCAACCCCAGAAGCCUUCCCCAAAUCUGAAGAACUCUCUUCUGAAAGCAGAGUGGGUUUACAGCUAAUUAACGCAUCUGGACCUGCACAGCCCCUUGGGGGUGAGCACACUUUUCUCCCAGCACACGCCCUGGUACCACCUGCCCUGGGAGAGCUCAGCCCUCUGCCUGGAUCCUGCAGCCUCUGGCUGGCAAACCCGUCCCUGGCAGCGCUGUGGCCGCUCCGAGGAGCGACAUCUUUCUUUAAACCCCCCCAUCGGCCCACCUACCCCUCUGCCCAAACUUGACUAGUAAAGAAAAUUCAGCUUUGCACAUUAGAAACUUUACUCCAGUAAAGCACGGCACAGUUACAGGUUCAGCACUUGGAGAUCCUGGAGACUGUUUGCUGUUAUUUACUUAAGUGAGAUUUUAAUUAUGCAGAAGAUGCUAAAGGCUGCACAGGCCUCACUGUGAAUUAGGGCUUCUCUCUUCUUUUGACAACGACAUUUUAAUUCCCAUAGACUUAAUACACACUCACUGCAGACUUGUUCACGAACAAACAGGUAACCAAAACUGAAAAUGCAGCAGGACACAGUUAAAGAGAAAUCACACACACACUGCCCACCCCCCCCAGCUACAGAGACAAAAAUGAAAAUAAAGCACCAAGAACACCUCAGCUUGAGAGACUAUUCCUUUCAGGCAUAUUAGUGUAAAGACUGGAGCUACUUAAUUUCAGUCCUUAAGCACACAAAGAAACUUCCUGAAAUAAAUUCAAGAUGACAACCAAUAGCCAACAGACAGCCACCACUAACUAUUUAAGUAAAUCAUGUAUUGAAAUCUGCAUGGAGACAACUGAAAAAUCUGCCUCCAAGGUAAACAUUUCAGCAUCAAUCUAAGAAACACUAAGUAGUAAUUACAAAAGAUACCCCCUUCUCCAAAAUCUGAAUGAACUACUUCAACAUCACCUAUAUAUGUGUGUGUAUAGAAAUACACACAUUUCACAGCCUACUAUACUAUGAAGAUCAUUACAGUCACCUUUAACAUCACUUAUUUGGUUGCAGUUAUGGGUAUCUGUAAUAUGAAUGAAUCUCAGACAGGCAAAUUUAAUUAAUGUUAUGGUACCAUUACAAAGCGUGUAUAUAUAUAGGCACAAAAUUUCCUUGCUGCCUUCAGAAAGAUGAAUAAAAAGUAAAACUGUGGUGUAAGGGUGGCCUGAGGUUAACUUACCAAUAUUGCUAUAAGCAAGAAUAAAAAAAAAAAAAAUCAAAUGCUUCAAAUUAAUGUCCUGCAAGUACGUUAUCUGUGGGUGGCUAUACACACUUUUAACACCACCACCACGGGAAGGAUUCAAAUAAGGCAAGAACUUCACAAACCAAACCAACAGAAAUACUAAGCCUUUAUUACAAAGAGAAAUUAUUCCACAGAAGAGGCUGGCUUGCUUCCAUGCAUGCUGUCAGUCAUAUCCACCUGCUGAGUGUGGAGAAGUGCUUCUGCUAGAUUCAUUAAUUCCCCAAGACACCAUUAGGCUUUGUUCUUGGCUACAAGUGCGUGAGCAUUUUGAUUCAACUGAAUUGCUUUCUAGAAUUUUGUUACCAGCAUUGAGUGGGCCAAAAUAAUGAACCUGACUGUUGGAUAAGCCAAACACUGCAAGGGAAGAAAAAGAAAAA
This is an RNA transcript of Falco peregrinus (peregrine falcon), 4980 nucleotides long. It is a transcript of the gene named PWWP domain containing 2A, with no coding region annotated. The transcript is spliced from 5 exons. Lineage: Eukaryota; Metazoa; Chordata; Aves; Falconiformes; Falconidae. The record is from RefSeq and is a predicted model, not a curated record.